AAUAUUGACGUCAUAUCAACAUUAUCGACACAAUACCAAUGUGAUAUUUAUAAAAUAUUAAUGUCGUUACUGUGAAGACAUAAAUUAAUCACUUUUAAUAGGAGAAGGGCACGUGGAUUAGAUGACCAUUUACCCUUCACGUAGUGAGUAGACCACAAAAUUACCCGAAAGAAAUAAGAUGUAGUCUACGCUAAGGUAAUUUGGGCUUUUAUGUCACUAAUGCACCAUGGACUCUCCAUGCCGCCUCUCCACAGUCUCUCCUUAGGUGUUCGGCGCACAUGCGCUCUUCCUCCAACCUAUAUGUUUUUUUUUAUUUUUAUAAAUGAUAUUUGUAGAAUCCAUUUUUAAAAUAAAUCAAUUAAAAUAAAAUUUCAACAUCUAUAGUUAGUGUUUAAUGGGAUCCACACAAUAAAAUAAUUAAAAAUUAUUGACAUCACAUUUUCUCAUGUGUCAAUUCACAUAGUAUUGACAUAUCGGUUGGAUCUUGUUCCUACCUUCAAAUUUGAUUACAUGACAUUCCACUUAGGAUUUGACAUCUCUUUUGGAGAUAUUCUAAGACAAUUAAGAUUAUGUAUACUCCCAACCUCAUAAUGUACACCUCGUGGAAUCAACCGUCUGAGACCCAUUGCAUGUUCCAAGAUUUUUUAAACCAACUCCUUGAUUUAAGAUCGGGCACAACUUUUCUCUCAUGCGCAUGACUAGGUUAAGCGACUUGGACGAUGACAUGCAGAAGACAAUAUAGCAAUCAAAUAUAAAUGUCACCUUAACAAAAUAUUGGUACUACAUAUUGACUUCACAUCAACAUUAUCGACGCUAUAUCAAUGUAAUAUCUAUAAAAUAUCAACAUUGUUACUAUAAAGACAUAAAUUAUUCACCUUUAAUCGGAGAAGGGCACGUGGAUUAGAUGACGAUUUUAUAUCACUAGCGCACCAUGCGCUCUCCGGGCCGCCUCUCCAGAGUCUCUCCUUAGGUGUUCGGCGUACUUGCACUCUUACUAACAAGGACCUUCAAGAAUACUAACUGGUAGGACUAUGGAGAUUGACCUGCAUCGUUAAAGACUGCCUAGAAUCCUCUGCAGCCUCCCCUCCCAAUUGCUUGCUAGGGUUACUGCCCAGCAUGGCCUGUAACCUCACCUCUCAACUGCCUACGAGGAGUCUCUCCUAUAAAUAACCAAGUCGAACAAGGAUAUCAGUAAUCGCUACUUACUGCUCCGAAUUCUCUCUGUUCUAAGGAGCAUGUAUGUCCAUUUUCUUUUGUUCUUUUGUAACAAAAAUAUUCUAAAUUAUUUUAUUCUACGUGGAUGAAGAUUCAAACUUGAGUAUAGUAAAUAACCUGACUAACUAGUCGGCCCAACCCACGUUUGCAAGCAUAGCAUGGCCCAUUCUUGCCUAUCCCUUUUUUCCCAAAUAUAGAAAGGAGCAUAAAAACGUUUGUUUUGUGCUUUGCCCUUGUAUGCAAGUACAUAUGUUAUUGAAGGCUCAAGAAUAUAUAGUAUAAAUUCAUAUGAAAGGGUCAUGUCACAAGACUCACAGUCCCUAUUGUUGGCCUUUUUCUAGAAUCCCUCUAAGCAAUUGGCCUUUGGCUUGUUAAUUCACACGAAAGAUAUUUAUAAGCUAGAGCUAGCUGGGCAGCAAGCCAACCCCUCAGGUGAAUUAGGACCCACAAUACAUAGCCUUUCCUAUUUCUGCAUGAGACAUUAAAUUUUUUUAAGACUUUUGCACGACCAAUAUUUCAUCGCGCAAACUCGUAUCCUUUGUCGCUCAAGGUGAUACGGGUUUUAAAACCAAAAUAACUCCUUCACAAUUUUCUCAAUGUCUUUCUCUAUUUCUUACCUCUCCUCUCUUUCCCUCACCCCAAAUCCGACCCCUCUCUCUCACACUCACUUCUCUCACUUAAUCUCUCUUCUCUAUCUCUCACUCUCACUCACUCUCUCUUCUCUAUCUCUCACUUUCACUCACUCUCUCAUCUCUCUCACUAUCUCCUCUAACUCUCUCACCCUCACUCCUCUCUCUCAUUCUCACUCACUCUCAAUCUUGCCAAAAGGUAUUUUCUCCCCAAAUUUAAAUUUUUUUUCAUUAAUAUGUGUUUUUGGAGUUAAUUAAUGGGAACUUUAAUAAAAAGGGCUUGGACAAAAUUUAAUUUAACCAAAAACCACCCUAUACUAUUAUUUAAUCAAAAGGGCUUCAUAUUUAAUUAUAAGGACAAAACUAAUCUAUUUCAGGCUCACAACUAUUAAACCCACAUGUGAUGAAUUAAAAGCCCAAAACGAAAUAAAUAUUUUUUCCAGCCCCUGCCCCUAACAGAAAUCCCAUUCUGUCAGCCAAUCUGUUAGAAUUAAACUUCUUUUUAUGUAUGAGUAUGCCACUUCCUCAUUAAUCCACCUAACAGAUAUUAAUAGGUUUGUCAUUCAAAAGCUGCCUACCUCCUCCAACAAACCAGCUUCCUCUCACCUUUCAAUAAAACCGUCUUCCGAGCUUGUAAUUGCAGCAUUUUUUCAAAAUUAUGAUCUACACCCUACUUUCCAAUAAAAAAAGGGCUGGAGAGUAGGAUGGGGUCUAACAUCUUGAGGAAGAAAGAUUAUAGAAGGUUGAGAAAGCUUCACUCUUGACAUUGAAGAACAGGGAUGAACAGGUGAAGUUCUUUCAUGUGUAAGAGAAAAUUUCUCGUUCUUAUUCUUUUUAUCAACGUAUUUUCUUCUCUCUCCAAUAUUGCAAUCAAUUCUGUGUAUGUUUCAAUUGGAAAGAAAUAAGAAAGACUGAAAAUAGUUUUAAGCCACAAUUUUGUGUUUGACACAUUGCAUGGUGAUAUUAAAAGCUUAGUUUGGUUACGAGAGGAUGGAUUAGGAAUUUAGGACACUUAUAGUGACUGAUACCUAUGGCCAAAUUUUGCGAAUUUUCAAAGAGAAUUUAAACAGCAUGUUGAUAAACUAACUUGAGUAACUACCACACAUAGAAAUUAAUUUAAUAAACUUACCAGGGAUCUUAUCAGCUAAACCAAGUGUCUGACAUAUUUCUAGUUCAUGCUUCUGCUGAGAAAUCCUUCCAAGAAACACUAAAGUCUCUCAAUGUCUUUGUGAUGCGAAGUUUUAUGAUGCUAAGGAGCUUCAAAGUCUUUGUGCGAUUGUUGCUAAGGAUGAACACACAACUGAAGUAUCCUGGGCCUUUGGUAUGACUGGUAAGGCACCUGGAAAGGUCUUUUUGCUUGUUCAUAUUUAUAUCUAAAUUUAUAAUUUGCUUAUGUUGUCUCUUUAUUUUAUUGCAUACAUAUAUGAACGGUUUCCUGAUUUACUUUGCAAAGUCGAAUGUUCCUAUUACUAGUGUUCCGUUUAAGAAAUAGUCAGUAUUUAGUUUACGAAAUAGUGAUAGUAAUAGUGUUUUGUUUAUGAAAUAGUGAUAGUACUAAUGUUCGGUUUAAGAUAUAGUCAGUGUUUAAUUUAAGAAAUAGUGUUCAUUUUAAGAAGUAGUCAAUGUUCUUUUAAGAAAUAGUGAUAGUACUAGUGUUCCGUUUGAGAAAUAAUUAGUGUUUAGUUUACGAAACAGUGAUGGUACUAGUGUUCGUUUGAUAAAUAGUCAAUGUUUAGUUUACGAAAUAGUGACAGUACUAGUGUUCCGUUUAUGAAAUAGUGAUAGUACUAAUGUUCGGUUUAAGAUAUAGUCGGGUUUAAUUUAAGAAAUAGUGUUCAUUUUAAAAAGUAGUCAAUGUUCAGUUAAGAAAUAGUGAUAGUACUAGUGUUCCGUUUGAGAAAUAAUCAGUAUUUAGUUUACAAAACAGUGAUAAUACUAGUGUUCCGUUUAAUAAAUAGUCAGUGUUUAGUUUAUGAAACAGUGAUAGUACUAGUGUUCCGUUUAAGAAAUAGUCAGUGUUUAGUUUACGAAACAGUGAUAGUACUAGUGUUCGUUUAAUAAAUAGUCAGUGUUUAGUUUACGAAAUAGUGACAGUACUUUGUUAGUAAAAAAUCAAUUAUUAGCAAAUAUAUUAUAUUACCUUGAUUGAACACGGAUACACUAUUUAUGAAAUGACUAUUUAUGAAACAUGUUUUCAUAAGAAAAUAACAAAGAACACUAGCUAUAACCCAUUUAAUAAUGAUGGAUCUUUUUACAACCUGUUUUCCAUCUCAUCUCAUCCCCUUUUUCACCUAGCUUUUGGCUGCUGUUUUGGCCUCUUUUAUGUUGUCUAUGUUGCUUGCCCUUCGGGGCUGGAGUGCUUUCUGCCUCCCUAAUUUGUUCCUUGGCAGCUCCCCUUUUUAUAUGCUCUAUUCGAUUUCAACCAAAAACUAAUGAUGGACCAUGGCUAAUAAUAACAAACUCUGCCACAUGCUACUUGUGCGCUGUAAUAUCAUAUCAUUGCUACGGUGGUUACCAAGUUCUUAAUUGAAAUUAGCACAUAGCUGACUUCCAAUCUCAGUAGAUAUGUUGAAGAAUGAAAAGUCCUUAUAUUCUGAAUGUAACCACCUACCCGAAUAAUCCAACUCAGUUUACCUCUUUAAACAACUCCACCACAAAUUUAAGGUUAUUGGACAAAUUAACACCCUUAAUACUUACAGAGCCCCCAAAUCUCAAUCAAGAAGAUCAGUAACUUCAAAUGCGUAUUUCAUUAACAAAAAACCAAAGGAAGAAUGAUUGAUUUGAAAUUAGAGAAGAAAACUGGAACCGGAAAUUGAAUAGGAAUUCCAAUUGGGAGAUUUACCUGCAAUCACGAGAUGAUCGAGGGAAUUCUUGAUCGUCUAGAACUGAGCAAGAUAGUUCGCCAUGUUCGACCUCGAUCUGUACCAGACAUAUGCAAUUGUUCAUU
Molecule: long non-coding RNA, 4791 nt
Filed under: Malus domestica (apple)
Lineage: Eukaryota; Viridiplantae; Streptophyta; Magnoliopsida; Rosales; Rosaceae
Description: long non-coding RNA (MDOM_LNC019640)
Source: RNAcentral